This 248-nucleotide ribosomal RNA is filed under the name uncultured Actinomycetales bacterium. RNAcentral's name for it is "partial 16S ribosomal RNA". It matches the Rfam family "Bacterial small subunit ribosomal RNA", at positions 85 to 334 of the family's 1533-position model. The record is from RNAcentral. Lineage: Bacteria; Bacillati; Actinomycetota; Actinomycetes; Actinomycetales.
GGGUGCUCGAGUGGCGAACGGGUGAGUAACACGUGAGUAACCUGCCCUUGACUUUGGGAUAACUUCAGGAAACUGGGGCUAAUACCGGAUAGGAGCUCCUGCCGCAUGGUGGGGGUUGGAAAGUUUCGGCGGUUGGGGAUGGACUCGCGGCUUAUCAGCUUGUUGGUGGGGUAGUGGCUUACCAAGGCUUCGACGGGUAGCCGGCCUGAGAGGGUGACCGGCCACAUUGGGACUGAGAUACGGCCCAG